UUUGAUCUCUUCUCCUUUCUCUACCUUGCUUUAAGCAUAAGGGUAGAAUUUUCAAGCUUCCCGUGGUCAAGAGAAGUUUAUUGGGAAUUAGUUAUUCGAUAAGUUUCCUCCAUAUUCCCUAUUCUCUCAAAUUUUGCACUGUUCUUCAUAUUAAUCUUUUAUGUUUUCAUGUUAUAUGCCUACUGUAUGUGUGUAUUAGAAAAUUAAUUUUCAAUCCGUUAAUUUCUUUGCUUGUUUUUUUAUCUUGAUGUUGCGUUGUCUAUUCCUCAUUUUUAUAGUUUCGUAUAUGCAUAAUUUGAUUUCCUUUCAACGAUAUUGUGCCUUAAGUUUUAUAUUUCUUAGUCUCGUUUUUACAUUUGAUUUUCACUCCUUUCGCUACCUUCUAUAAGCGUAAAGGUAGAAUUUUCAGGUUUCCCGAGGAAAAAAGAAGCUUAUUUGGAAAUACUUGUCAGGUAAGUUUCCUCCAUAUCCCCUAUUCUUUUCCAUUUCGCAUUGUUCUUUAUUCUUCUCUUUUAUGUUUGAUUGUUAUUUGUUGACCGCAUGUAUGUAGUAGAGAAUUAAUUUUCAAUCCUUUGAUUUCUUUGUUUGUUUUUAAAAGCUUGAUGUUGUGUUUUCUAUUGCUCAUAUCUUUAGUUUCGUAUUCGAAUAAUUUUUCUACUCUCAAGGACAUUGUGGUUUUAACAUUUGAUCUCUACUCCUUUCUCUACCUUGCUUUAAGCAUAAGGGUAGAAUUUUUCAGGUUUCCAAUGGUAAAGAGAAGUUUAUUGGGAAUUAGUUCUUGGAUAAGUUUCCUCCGUAUUCCCUAUUCUCUCAAAUUUUGCACUGUNNNNNNNNNNNNNNNNNNNNNNNNNNNNNNNNNNNNNNNNNNNNNNNNNNNNNNNNNNNNNNNNNNNNNNNNNNNNNNNNNNNNNNNNNNNNNNNNNNNNGUAUUUCCACACUAUACUUCUCAUUUCCUCUGGAAUCUGUAUAUUUCUACUUUCGCGCUUACCAGACUAAGUACGUGUGUCAUCGAAAAUUAAUUCUGAAUCCGUUAAUUUCUUUGUUUGUUUUUUAUCUCGAUCUUACGUUGUCUAUUCCUCAUUUCUUUAGUUUAUACCUGCAUAAUUUGAUUUUCUUUCAAUGAUAUUGCGCCUUGAGAGUUAAUUUUCUUAUUCUCAAUUUUACAUUUGAUCUCUACUCCUUUCGCUACAUUCUAUAAGCGUAAGGGUAGAAUUUUCAAGUUUCCCGAGGAAAAGAGAAGUUUGUUUGAAAAUACUUGUCAGGUAAGUUUUCUCCGCAUCCCCUAUUCUCCUCCAUUUUGCAUUGUUCUUCAUUCUUCUCUUUUAUAUUUGAGUGUUAUUUGUUCACUGCCUGUAUGUUGUACAGAAUGAAUUUUCAAUCCUUUGAUUUCAUUGCUUUUUUUUAGAGCUCUAUGUUGUGUUUUCUAUUAUUCAUUUCUUUAGUUUUGUAUCAAAAUAAUUUUAUUUACUCUCAAGGACAUUGUGGUUUUAACAUUUGAUCUCUUCUCAUUUCUCUAUCUUGCUUUAAGCGUAAGGGUAGAAUUUUCAGGUUUCCCGUGGUCAUGAGAAGUUUAUUUCGAGUUAGUUCUUCAGUAAGUUUCCUCUAUAUUCCCUAUUCUCUCAAAAAUUUUGCACUGUUUCUCCUAUUUAUCUUUUCGUGUUAUAUGUCUACUGUAUGUGUGUACUAGAAAAUUAAUUCUGAAUCCGUUAAUUUCUUUGUCUAUUUUUUUUCUUGAUGUUGCGUUUUCUAUUCCUCAUUUCUUUAGUUUCGUAUAUGCAUAAUUUGAUUUCCUUUCAAGGAUAUUGCGCAAUAGUUAAUUUUCUUAUUCUCGUUUUUACAUUUGAUCUCUACUCCUUUCGCUACAUUCUCUAAGCGUAAGGGUAGAAUUUAAAGGUUUCCCAAGGAAAAGAGAAGUGUUUUUGGAAAUACUUGUCAGGUAAGUUUUCUCCGUAUCCCUUAUUCCCCACCACUUCGCAUUGUUCUUCAUUCUUCUCUUUUAUGUUUGAGUGUUAUUUGUUCACUGCGUGUAUCUAGUAGAGAAUUAAUUUUCAAUCCUUUGAUUUCAAUUUUUUUUUUUUUAUACCUCUAUGUUGUGUUUUCUAUUACUCAUUUCUUUAGUUUCGUAUCAAAAUAAUUUUAGUUACUUUCAAGUACAUUGUGGUUUUAAAAUUUGAUCUCUACUCCUUUCUCUACCUUGCUUUAAGCGUAAGGGUAGAAUUUUCAGGUUUCCCCUGGUCAAGAGAAGUUUAUAAGGAAUUAGUUCUUCGAUAAGUUUCCUCCAUAUUCACUAUUCUCUCAAAUUUUGCUUUGUUCUUCUUAUUUCUCUUUUAUGUUUUCGUGUUAUAUGUCUACUGUAUGUGCGUACUAUAUAAUUAAUUUUAUAUCCGUUAAUUUCAUUGUUUGUUUUUUAUCUUGAUGUUGUGUUGUCUAUUCCUCAUUUCUUUAAUUUGGUAUCCAUAUAAUUUUAUUUCCUUUCUACAAUAUUGUGCCAUAAGAGUUAAUUUUCUUAAUCUCGAUUUUACAUUUGAUCUCUACUCCUUUCGCUACCUUCUAUAAGCGUAAGGGUAGAAUUUUCAGGUUGCUCGAGGAAAAGAGAAGUUUAUGGGAAAAUACUUGUCAGGUAAGUUUCCUCCGUAUCCCCUAUUCUCCUCCAUUUGGAAUUGUUGUUCAUUAUUCUCUUUUAUGUUUGAGUGUUAUUUGUUGACCACAUGUAUGUAGUAGAUAAUUAAUUUUCAAUCCUUUGAUUACUUUGGCUUUUUUUAAAAGCUUGAUCUUGUGUUUUCUAUUCCUCAUUUCUUUAGUUUCUUAUCAAAAUAAUUUUAUUUACUUUCAAGGACAUUGUGGUUUUAACAUUUGAUCUCUACCCCUUUCUCUACUUUGCUCUAAGCACAAUGGUAGAAUUUUCAAGUUUUCGGUGGUGAAGAGAAGUUUAUUGGGAAUUAGUUCUCGGAUAAGUUUUCCCCAAAUUCCCUACUCUCUCAAAUAUUGUAUUGUUCUUCAUUUUUAUCUUGUAUGUUUUCAUGUUAUAUUUCUACUAUAUGUAUGUACUAGAUAAUUAAUUUUAUAUCCGUUAAUUUCUUUGUUUGUUUUUUAUCUUGAUGUUGCAUUCUGUAUUCCCCAUUUCUUUAGUUUCGUAUCCAUAUAAUUUUAUUUCCUUUCUACAAUAUUGUGCCAUAAGAGUUAAUUUUCUUAAUCUCGUUUUUAUAUUUAAUCUCUACUCCUUUCGCUACCUUCUAUAAGCGUACGGGUAGAACUUUCAGGUUUCCCUUUGAAAAUAGAAGUUUAUUUGAAAAUACUUGUCAUGUAAGUUUCCUCUGUAUCCCAUAUUCUCCUCCAUUUGGCAUUGUUGUUCAUUCUUCUCUUUUAUGUUAAAGUGCUAUUUGUUGACCGCAUGUAUGUAGUAGAGAAUUAAUUUUCACUCUUUUGAUUUUUUUUUUUUUUUAAGAGCUUGAUCUUGUGUUUUCUAUUCCUCAUUUCUUUAGUUUCGUAUCAGAAUAAUUUGAUUUACUUUAAAGGACAUUAUGGUUUUCACAUUUGAUCUGUACACCUUUCUCUACCUUUCCCAAUAAACUUCCCUUGACCUCAGGAAACCUGAAAAUUCUACCCUUAUGCUUAAAUCAAGGUAGAGAAAGGAGAAGAGAUCAAAUGUUAAAACCACAAUGUCCUAAAGAGUAAAUAAAAUUAUUCGGAUAUGAAACUAAAGAUAUGAGCAAUAGAAAACACAACAUCAAGCUUUUAAAAACAAACAAAUAUAUCAAAGGAUUGAAAAUAAACUCUCUACUACAUACAUGCGGUAAAAAAAUAACACUCAAACAUAAAAAGAGAAGAAUAGAGAACAAUGCGAAAUGGUAAAGAAUAAGGGAUACGGAGGAAACUUACCUGACAAGUAUUUCCAAAUGAGCUUCUCUUUUCCUCGAGACACUUGAAAAUUUUACUCUUAUGCUUAUAGAAAGUAGCGAAAGGAGUAGAGAUCAAAUGUAAAAACGAGAAUAAGAAAAUUAACUCUCAAGACACAAUAUCGUUGACAUGAAAUUAAAUUAUGCUGUUACGAAACUAAAAAAAUGAGAAUAGACAACGCAACAUCAGAAUAAAAAACAAACAAAGGAAUUAACAAAUUCAAAAAUAAUUUUCUAGUACACACAUACAGUAGACGCAUAAGAUGAAAACAUAAAAGAUAAAAAUGAAAAACAGUGCAAAAUUUGAGAGAAUAGGGAAUAGGGAGGAAACUUAUCAAAGAACCAAUUCCCAAUAAACUUCUAUUCACCACGGGAAACCUUAAAAUUCUACCCUUACGCUUAAAGCAAUGUAGAGAAAGGAGUAGAUAUCAAAUGUUAAAACCACAAUGUCCUUGGGAGUAAAUCAAAUUAUUUUGAUACAAAACUAAAAAAAUGAGGAAUAGAAAACACAACAUCAAGCUUUUAAAAAAAAAAACAAAGAAAUCAAAGGAUUGAAAAUUAAUUCUCUACUACACACAAGCGGUCAACAAAUAACACUCAAACAUAAAAGAGAAUAAUGAAGAACAAUGCAAAAUGGAGGAGAAUAGGGAAUACGGAGGAAACUUACCUGACAAGUAUUUCCCUAUAAACUUCUCUUUACCUCGAGAAACUUGAAAAUUCUACCCUUAUAUUUAUAGAAGGUAGCGAAAAGUGUAGACAUCAAAUGUAAAAAUGAUAAUAAGAAAAUUAACUCUUAAGGCUCAAUAUGGUUGAAAGGAAAUCAAAUUCUACUGAUACAAAACUAAAGAAAUGAGGAAUAGACAAUGCAACAUCAAGAUAAAAAACAAACAAAGAAAUUAAUGGAUUCAAUGUUAAUUUUCUAGAACACACAUAUAGUAGACAUAUAACACAAAAACAUAAAAGAUAAAUAAGAAGAACAACCAAGAUUUGAGAGAAUAGGGAAUAUGGAGAAAACUUACCGAAUAACUAAUUCCCAAUAAACUUCUCUUGACUAGGGGAAACCUGAAAAUUCUACCCUUACGCCUAAAACAAGGUAGAGAAAGGAGUAGAGAUCAAAUUUUAAAACCACAAUGUACUUGAAAGUAAAUAAAAAUUUUUUGAUAAGAAACUAAAGAAAUAAGAAAUAGAAAACACAACAUAGAGCUAUAAAAAAAAAACAAUGAAAUCAAAGGAUGGAAAAUUCAUUAUCUACUAAAUACACGCAGUGAACAAAUAACACUCAAACAUAAAAGAGAAAAAUACAUAACAAUGCAAAAUGGUGGAGAAUAGGAAAUACGAAGAAAACUUACUCGACAAGUAUUUCCAAAUACUCUUUUCCUUGGGAAACCUAAAAAAUUCUACCCUUACGCUUAUAGAAUGUAGCGAAAAGAGUAGAGAUCAAAAGUAAAAAUGAGAAUAAGAAAAUUAAUUCUUAAGGUGCAAUAUAGUUGAAAGGAAAUCAAAUUAUGCAAAUACAAAACUAAAGAAAAGAGGAAUAGACAACGCAAGAUCAAAAUUAAAAACAACCAAAGAAAUUAACGGAUUCAAAUUAAUUUUCUAGUACACACAUAUAGUAGACAUAUAACAUGAAAACAUACAAAAUAAAUAUGAAAAACAGUGCAAAAUUUGAGAGAAUAAGGAAUACGGAGGAACCUUAUUCAAGAACUAAUUCCCAAUAAACUUUCCUUCACCACGGGAAACCUGAAAAUUCUACCCUUACGCUUAAAGCAAGGUACAGAAAGGAUUAGAGAUCAAAUGUUAAAAUCACAAUGUCCUUGAAAGUAAAUAAAAUUAUUUUGAUAAGAAACUAAAGAAAUGAGUAAUAGAAAACACAAUAUAGAGCUCUAAAAAAACACAAUGAAAUCAAAGGAUUGAAAAUUAAUUCUCUACUACAUACACGUAGUCAACAAAUAACACUCAAACAAAACAGAGAAGAAUGAAGAACAAUGCGAAAUGGGGGAGAAUAGGGGAUACGAAGAAAACUUACUCGACAAGUAUUUCCAAACAAACUACUCUUUUCCUCGGGAUACCUUAAAAUUCUACUUUCACGCUUACCUGACAAGUAUGGGUGUACUAGAAAAUUAAUUUUGAAUCCGUUAAUUUCUUUGUUUAUUUUUUAUCUUGAUCUUGCGUUGUCUAUUCCUCAUUUCAUUAGUUUUGUAUCUACAUAAUUUGAUUUUCUUUCAACGAUAUUGUGCCUUAAGAGUUAAUUUUCUUAUUCUCGUUUUUACAUUUGAUCUCUACUCCUUCCGCUACAUUCUAUAAGCGUAAAGGUAGAAUUUUCAGGUUUCCCGAGGAAAAGAGAAGUUUGUUUGGAAAUACUUGUCAGGUAAGUUUUCUUCGUAUCCCCUAUUCUCCUCCAUUUCGCAUUGUUCUUCAUUCUUCUCUUUUUUGUUUGAGUGUUAUUUGUUGACUUCGUGUAUGUAGUAGACAACGAAUUUUCAAUCCUUUGAUUUCAUUGUUUUUUUUUAUAACUCUAUGUUAUGUUUUCUAUUACUCAUUUAUUUAGUUUCUUAUCAAAAUAAUUUUAUUUACUUUCAAGGACAUUGUGGUUUUAACAUUUGAUCUCUAAUCCUUUCUGUACCUUGCUUUAAGCGUAAAGGUAGAAUUUUCAGGUUUCCCGUGGUGAAGGAAAAGUUUAUUGGGAAUUAGUUCUUGGAUAAGGUUCCUCCGUAUUCCCUAUUCUCUCAAAUUUUGCACUGUUCUUCAUAUUUAUCUUGUAUGUUUUCAUGUUAUAUGUCUAUUGUAUGUAUGUACUAUAAAAUUAAUUUUGAAUCUGAUAAUGUCUUUGUUUAUUUUUUAUUUUUAUGGUGCGUUGUCUAUUCCUCAUUUCUUUAGUUUCGUAUCAACAUAAUUUGAUUUCCUUUCAACGAUAUUGUGCAUUAAGAGUUAAUUUUCUUAUUCUCGUUUUUACAUUUGAUCUCUACUCGUUUCGCUACAUUCUAUAAGCAUAAGGGUAGAAUUUUCAGGUUUCCCGAGGAAAGGAGAAGUUUUCAAUCCUUUGAUUUUAUUAUUUUCUUUUAGAGCUAUAUGUUGUGUUUUUCUAUUACUCAUUUCUUUAGUUUCUUAUCAAAAUAAUUUUAUUUACCUUCAAGGACAUUGUGGUUUUAACAUUUGAUCUCUACUCCUUUCGCUACAUUCUAUAAGCGUAAGGGUAGAAUUUUCAAGUUUCCCGAGGAAAAGAGAAGUUUGUUUGGAAAUACUUGUCAGGUAAGUUUUCUCCGUAUCCCCUAUUCUCCUUCAUUUCGCAUUGUUCUUCAUUCUUCUCUUUUAUGUUUGAGUGUUAUUUGUUGAAUUCGUGUAUGUAGUAGAGAAUGGAUUUUCAAUCUUUUGAUUUCAUUGUUUUUUUUUAGAGCUCUAUGUUGUGUUUUCUAUUAUUCAUUUCUUUAGUUUCAUAUCAAAUUAAUUUUAUUUACUCUCAAGGAUAUUGAUGUUUUAACAUUUAUUCUCUACACAUUUCUCAACUUGCUUUAAGCGUAAGGGUAGAAUUUUCAGGUUUCCCGUAGUGAAGAGAAGUUUAUUGGGAAUUAGUUAUUGGAUAAGUUUCCUCCGUAUUCCCUAUUCUCUCAAAUUUUGCGUUGUUCUUCAUUUUUAUCUUGUCAGUUUCCUCCGUAUCCUCUAUUCUCCUCCAUCUGGCAUUGUUAUUCAUUCUUCUCUUUUAUGUUUGAGUGUUAUUUGUUGACCGCGUGUAUGUAGUAGAGAAAUAAUUUUCAAUUCUUUGAUUUCGUUUUUUUUUUUUUUAAAAGCUUGAUGUUGUGUUCUCUAUUGCUCAUUUCUUUAGUUUCGUAUCCGAAUAAUUUUAUUUACUUUCAAGGACACUGUGGUUUUAACAUUUGAUCUUUUCUCCUUUCUCUACCUUGCUUUAAGCAUAAGGGUAGAAUUUUCAGGUUUCGCGUGGUCAAGAGAAGUUUAUUGGGAAUUAAUUCUUCGAUAAGUUUCCUCCCUAUUCCUUAUUCUCUCAAAUUUUGCAUUGUUUUUCAUAUUUAUCUUUUAUGUUUUCGUGUUAUAUGUCUACUGUAUGUGUGUACUAGAAAAUUAAUUUAUGAAUCCGUUAAUUUCUUUGUUUGUUUUUUAUCUUGAUCUUGCGUUGUGUAUUCCUCAUUUCAUUAGUUUCGUAUCUACAUAAUUUAAUUUCCUUUAACCGAUAUUGUGCCUUAAGAGUUAAUUUUCUUAUUCUCGUUUUUACAUUUGUAAUCUACUCAUUUCGCUACCUUCUAUAAGCGUAAGGGUAGAAUUUUUAGGUUUCCCCAGGAAAAGAAAUGUUUGUUUGGAAAUACUUGUCAGGUAAGUUUUCUCUGUAUCCACUAUUCUCCUCCAUUUUGUAAUGUUCUUCAUUCUUCUCUUUUAUGUUUGAUUGUUAUUUGUUGAUUGCGUGUAUAUAGUAGAUAAUGAAUUUUCAAUCCUUUGAUUUCAUUGUUUUUUUUUUUAGAGCUCUAUGUUGUGGUUUUUAUUACUCAUUUCUUUAGUUUCUUAUCAAAAUAAUUUUAUUUACUUUCAAGGACAAUGUGGUUUUAACAUUUGAUUUCUACUCUUUUCUCUACCUUGUUUUAAGCGUAAGAGUAAAAUUUUUAGGUUUUCCGUGGUGAAGAUAAGUUUAUUGGGAAUUAGUUCUUGGAUAAGUUUCCUCCGUAUUCCCUAUUCUCUCAAAUUUUGCACGGUUCUUCAUAUUUAUCUUGUAUGUUUUCGUAUUAUAUGUCUACUGUAUGUGUGUGCUAGAAAAUUAAUUUUGAUUCUGUUAACUUCUUUGUUUGUUUUUUAUCUUAAUUUUGCGUUGCUUAUUCCUCAUUUCUUUAGUUUCAUAUCUGCAUAGUUUGAUUUUCUUUCAACCAAAGCCUUAAGAGUUAAUUUUCUUAUUCUUGUUUUUACAUUUGAUCUCUACCCCUUUUGCUUCCUUCUAUAAGCGUAAAGGUAGAAUUUUUAGGUUUCCCAAAGAAAAGAGAAGUUUAUUGGAAAAUACUUGUCAGAUAAGUUUCCUCGAUAUACACUAUUCUCCUUCAUUACGCAUUGUAAUUCAUUCUGCUCUUUUAUGUUUGAGUGUUAUUUGUUGACUACAUGUAUGUAGUAGAGAAUGAAUUUUCAAUCUUUUGAUUUCAUUGUUUUUUUUUAGCUUUAUGUUGAGUUUUCUAUUACUCAUUUCUUAAGUUUCUUAUCAAAAUAAUUUUAUUUACUCUUAAGAAAAUUGUGGUUUUAACAUUUGAUCUCUACUCCUUUCUCGACCUUCCUUUAAGCGUAACGGUAGAAUUUUCAGGUUUCCCGUGGUGAGGAGAAGCUUUUUGGGAAUUAGUUCUUGUAUAAGUUUCCUCUGUAUUCCCCUAUUCUCUCAAAUUUUGCAUUGUUCUUCAUAGUUAUCUUGUAUGUUUUCGUGUUAUAUGUCCACUGUAUAUGUGUACUAGAAAAUUAAUUUUGAAUCCGUUAAUUUCUUUGUUUGUUUUUUAUCUUGAUCUUGCGUUGUCUAUUCCUCAUUUCUUUAGUUUCGUAUCAGCAUAAUUUAAUUUCCUUUCAACGAUAUUGUGUCUUGAGAGUUAAUUUUCUUAUUCUCGUUUUUACAUUUGAUCUCUACGCCUUUCGUUACUUUCUAUAAGCGUAAGGGUAGAAUUUUCAAGUGUCCCGAGGAAAUGAGAAGUUUAUUUGGAAAUACUUGUCAGGUAAGUUUCCUCUGUAUCCCUUAUUCUCUUCCAUUUCGCAUUGUUCUUUAUUAUUCUCUUUUAUGUUUGAGUGUUAUUUUUUAAUCGCAUGUAUGUAGUAGAGAAUAAAUUUUCAAUCCUUUGAUUUCUUUGUUUUCUUUUUAAAAGCUUGUUGUUGUGUUUUCUUCCUCAUUUCUUUAGUUUCGUAUCAGAAUAAUUUGAUUUACUUUCAAGGACAUUGUGCUUUUCACAUUUGAUCUAUACACCUUUCUUUAAGCAUAAGGGUAGAAUUUUCAGGUUUCCCGAGGUCAAGAGAAGUUUAUUGAGAAUUAGUUCUUCGAUAAGUUUCCUCCAUAUUCCCUAUUCUCUCAAAUUAUGCAUUGUUCUUCAUAUUUAUCUUUUAUGUUUUCGUGUUAUAUGUCUAUUGUAUGUAUGUACUAGAAAAUUAAUUUUGAAUCCGUUAAUUUCUUUAUUUGUUUUUUAUCUCGAUGUUGCGUUGUCUAUUCCUCAUUUUUUUAGUUUCGUAUCAGCAUAAUUUAAUUUCAUUUCAACGAUAUUGUGUCUUGAGAGUUAAUUUUCUUAUUCUCGUUUUUACAUUUAAUCUCUACUCCUUUCGCUACUUUCUAUAAGUGUAAGGGUAGAAUUUUCAAGUGUCCCGAGGAAAAGAGAAGUUUAUUUGGAAAUACUUGUCAGGUAAGUUUCCUCCGUAUUCCCUAUUCUCUUCCAUUUCGCAUUGUUCUUUAUUAUUCUCUUUUAUGUUUGAGUGUUAUUUGUUGACCACAUAUAUGUAGUAGAGAAUUAAUAUUCAAUCCUUUGAUUUCUUUGUUUUUUUUUUUAAAAGCUUGAUGUUGUGUUUUCUAUUCCUCAUUUCUUUAGUUUCGUAUCAGAAUAAUUUUGAUUUACUUUCAAGGACAUUGUGGUUUUCAC
Molecule: long non-coding RNA, 10486 nt
Filed under: Vitis vinifera (wine grape)
Lineage: Eukaryota; Viridiplantae; Streptophyta; Magnoliopsida; Vitales; Vitaceae
Description: long non-coding RNA (VVIN_LNC003539)
Source: RNAcentral